This 392-nucleotide ribosomal RNA is filed under the name uncultured bacterium. RNAcentral's name for it is "bacterial SSU rRNA". It matches the Rfam family "Bacterial small subunit ribosomal RNA", at positions 28 to 420 of the family's 1533-position model. The record is from RNAcentral.
GACGAACGCUGGCGGCGUGCUUAACACAUGCAAGUCGAACGGAUCAGGGGAGCUUGCUUUUCUGGUUAGUGGCGAACGGGUGAGUAACACGUGAGUAACCUGCCCUUCACUCUGGGAUAACUCCGGGAAACCGGGGCUAAUACUGGAUACGACUCGAACAGGCAUCUGUAUCGGGUGGAAAGAUUUAUUGGUGGAGGAUGGACUCGCGGCCUAUCAGCUUGUUGGUGAGGUAAUGGCNCACCAAGGCGACGACGGGUAGCCGGCCUGAGAGGCGAUCGGCCACACUGGGACUGAGACACGGCCCAGACUCCUACGGGAGGCAGCAGUGGGGAAUAUUGCACAAUGGGCGAAAGCCUGAUGCAGCGACGCCGCGUGAGGGAUGAAGGCCUCGG